AGUGAACGCUGGCGGUAGGCCUAACACAUGCAAGUCGAACGGCAGCACAGUAAGAGCUUGCUCUUACGGGUGGCGAGUGGCGGACGGGUGAGGAAUACAUCGGAAUCUACUUUUUCGUGGGGGAUAACGUAGGGAAACUUACGCUAAUACCGCAUACGACCUACGGGUGAAAGCAGGGGAUCUUCGGACCUUGCGCGAUUGAAUGAGCCGAUGUCGGAUUAGCUAGUUGGCGGGGUAAAGGCCCACCCAGGCGACGAUCCGUAGCUGGUCUGAGAGGAUGAUCAGCCACACUGGAGCUGAGACACGGUCCAGACUCCUACGGGAGGCAGCAGUGGGGAAUAUUGGACAAUGGGCGCAAGCCUGGUCCAGCCAUACCGCGUGGGUGAAGAAGGCCUUCGGGUUGUAAAGCCCUUUUGUUGGGAAAGAAAAGCAGCAGGUUAAUACCCCGCUGUUCUGACGGUACCCAAAGAAUAAGCACCGGCUAACUUCGUG
This 492-nucleotide ribosomal RNA is filed under the name uncultured bacterium. RNAcentral's name for it is "partial 16S ribosomal RNA". It matches the Rfam family "Bacterial small subunit ribosomal RNA", at positions 29 to 507 of the family's 1533-position model. The record is from RNAcentral.